Molecule: transfer RNA, 86 nt
Filed under: Desulfomicrobium sp.
Lineage: Bacteria; Pseudomonadati; Thermodesulfobacteriota; Desulfovibrionia; Desulfovibrionales; Desulfomicrobiaceae
Also listed under: 6 other names
Description: tRNA-Leu
Rfam family: tRNA
About the family: Transfer RNA (tRNA) molecules are approximately 80 nucleotides in length.
Source: RNAcentral
GCCGGAGUGGUGGAAUGGUAGACGCAGAGGACUCAAAAUCCUCCGGGGGCAACCCCUUGCGAGUUCGAGUCUCGCCUCCGGUACCA